Molecule: ribosomal RNA, 84 nt
Filed under: Liochlaena lanceolata
Lineage: Eukaryota; Viridiplantae; Streptophyta; Jungermanniopsida; Jungermanniales; Jungermanniaceae
Description: partial 5.8S ribosomal RNA
Rfam family: 5.8S ribosomal RNA
About the family: 5.8S ribosomal RNA (5.8S rRNA) is a component of the large subunit of the eukaryotic ribosome.
Source: RNAcentral
CGACUCUCAGCAACGGAUAUCUUGGCUCUUGCAACGAUGAAGAACGCAGCGAAAUGCGAUACCUAGUGUGAAUUGCAGAAUUCC